CACCUGGAAGCUUGCACAAGCACUAGCCCUUUAAGCUAGAGAAGGACAAUCACAUCUCCCCAAGUGA
Molecule: transfer RNA, 67 nt
Filed under: Uromastyx benti (Yemeni spiny-tailed lizard)
Lineage: Eukaryota; Metazoa; Chordata; Lepidosauria; Squamata; Agamidae
Description: tRNA-Lys
Source: RNAcentral